Canis lupus familiaris (dog) is the source of this 1319-nucleotide long non-coding RNA. RefSeq lists it as uncharacterized. The transcript is spliced from 3 exons. Lineage: Eukaryota; Metazoa; Chordata; Mammalia; Carnivora; Canidae. The record is from RefSeq and is a predicted model, not a curated record.
CGCCAAUACUGCUUUAAUGUUUAAUGUGAGGAUCUGAAUCACUGAUUGUCCUAUAGAUAGGACAAAAGAAGGUAGUAAGAUAAAGAAGUGAUCAGGUGAGCUGUUCCUGCCUGAACGGCAGAAGAACUGAGAAGGGGAGGGCAGUGGCAUUUAUAGGGGCCACCUGUUUGAAGAGGGUGAGGAAGAGCCCGCAGAGGUGCAAUCACACAGCAGCAUGAAAGUGAAGAGGCACAGGAGUGGGGCAGGCAGGCAGCCUCCUCCCCCGGGGAGACGAAGGGAGUUAAGAGAGUACUGAAGGCUUUCCACCUUGCAGUACAGUGCUGCUCCUGAUGAUCGGAACCAUGCCUUCCACCUGCCUUGAUCAGUUUUCCGAAAGUAGUCACUCCUAAAGUAUAUCUGAUGGAACACAAGACGGUAUUGAAUGAGCAACAAAUACUGCUUGUAAACCCCCUGAUAAAGGAAGACUUUAUCUCAUAGUCCUGGAAGCAAUCCUGACGUCUUAAAUUAUGUAAUCCUGGUAUUACAUUAUAUUAGUCUGGUUCAUAUAAAAUGUAAGCUACAAAAAUACCAAAGCUAAGAAAAAAUAUUUACUCAUGCUUUUACUAAGAUGCAGAGAGAGGAUGCAUGCAUUGCCAAAAUUCCAUAGAACAUGCUCAAACUAAAGCAACAAUGCCUUAGUUAUUAAAGAAGGCAAUGGCCUGAAGCAGUACUUAGGAACAAAGAUUACUUGGUCCAUGCAAGAGUCAAUAUUUAAGAACACAAUGACUAAUUCCCACUUCAAGUUCAUGAACAUAUUUCUUUUUAAGAGCUUCUUUUUGGUUAAAAUUUUUAUUUGUGGUUUCCCUACUUAUGAUCCAUGAACCUAAGAAUGAACAAAAACUUGAAACAUGAAACUCUCCAGUAGGCCAAAGUGUCAGUAUAGACUUAAUUCUGAUUUUAAAGACUUCUCAACAAGGGUUACACGAAACUUGUACUUUACUUCUCAGUCUCCAAAAAUACUCAUUUAUCAACUCGGCCUAAAGAACCAGACUGAAUGUUCUUGAACAACCGUGGAAAAUGCAUGAAUGACACCUCCAGACCAUAUCAAAACACUUGGGCUCUUAAUUUAAUUUCAAAUUACUUGAAUCCCAACUAGUAUUAUUGUUGCCAAUAGAAACUCCAUUUAUAAAUAAUCAGCUUUUUUUUUUUUUAAUGUUCUAGUUGAGCUUACCCUGAGCUAAAAGUAAUCAUUAAAUUCAUUUCCAGCACUACCUGUGUGACCCUUCAGCAAACUGCUCAAUUUUCCACACCUCAAUUUUCACCUUAGGUUCUCUCAAAGA